AUUUCCCUCCCAGCACAACAGCACUAUUUUGAAGUAAAUGCAAGAUAUCAGAUCACAUCAUUUGUAAACAUCUCAGUGUGUGUUUCUAAAAGAGAACUUGAACAAAAAAUACAAUCACAAUGCCAUUAUCUCAUCUAAAAGUAUUAACAAUAAUUCAUUAAAAGGCUCCAGUGUUGACUAUCCAGUCUUAAGUUGUGGUUUAACUACAAGGCCAUAAUUUUGUAGGCACAGUAUGAUUUUUUACAGAUGAAAAAAUAAAUCUAGCAACCCACUAAUCACAUCAUUUGUAUUCCAGCAUUACACUUCAAUCAUGCUCGUUUUGAUCAAUUGAGACAAUUUUGCAUGCAAGUUGGCCUUAUACUUCUCCAUGUGGCAUAGUAGGAGUGACAGUGUUCAGAAAGGCCAGGUUCCAGUUUUGGAUCCUGUGCUUAAGUGGAUCACUCAAACCCUUAACAGCCUUUGGUUUCCUUUAUAUAUGAAGGGGUUUGAAUUAUCAAUAAUUUAUCAUUGAAAAAUUUCAAAUUCUAGAACUUUCUGAAGACAGCAAUUUCAAAAUAUCUUCUCCUAAAGCCUAAAGUUAUUUUCUUUAAUAAGUAAAACUUCUUUAGUGGACAAACCUUUCUAGAUUUGAAGAGGUAAAAGUGUGGAUUUAAAAAGGAAUAAGAGGCAAAUGGUUUCAAAACAGCCCCUUCCUCCUGGAUGCGUUAUCUGUCCAUCCUCCAACCCCCAGUCCAUUUAUCCGUUCACGCAUCUGUGUGCCUACCUGUACCUCCGUAUCACGAUGCAGGUCUAAAGAUAAAGAAAUGAUUAUUUCUCACAGAACACACAACAGCCAAGCACGUAAAGCAUAA
RNAcentral lists this long non-coding RNA (851 nucleotides) under Marmota monax (woodchuck). The record is from RNAcentral. Lineage: Eukaryota; Metazoa; Chordata; Mammalia; Rodentia; Sciuridae.